This 571-nucleotide ribosomal RNA is filed under the name uncultured bacterium. Its description in RNAcentral is "bacterial SSU rRNA". It matches the Rfam family "Bacterial small subunit ribosomal RNA", at positions 57 to 638 of the family's 1533-position model. The record is from RNAcentral.
GCAGUCGAGCGCGUAGCAUACGAGCGGCAGACGGGUGAGUAACGCGUGGGAAUCUACCCAUCACUACGGAAUAACUCAGGGAAACUUGUGCUAAUACCGUAUACGCCCCUCUUUAAAAGAUCAGGAUUAUGGAUUUCCUGGUUUUUUAUGGGGGGGAGAGAUUGAUCGGUGAUGGAGGAGCCCGCGUUGGAUUAGCUAGUUGGUGGGGUAAAGGCCUACCAAGGCGACGAUCCAUAGCUGGUCUGAGAGGAUGAUCAGCCACAUUGGGACUGAGACACGGCCCAAACUCCUACGGGAGGCAGCAGUGGGGAAUAUUGGACAAUGGGCGCAAGCCUGAUCCAGCCAUGCCGCGUGUGUGAUGAAGGCCUUAGGGUUGUAAAGCACUUUCACCGGAGAAGAUAAUGACGGUAUCCGGAGAAGAAGCCCCGGCUAACUUCGUGCCAGCAGCCGCGGUAAUACGAAGGGGGCUAGCGUUGUUCGGAAUUACUGGGCGUAAAGCGCACGUAGGCGGAUCGAUCAGUCAGGGGUGAAAUCUCGCAGCUCAACUGCGGAACUGCCUUUGAUACUGUCG